AUUCCACAUAGAUAAAAAUUGAUCAGUUUCUCCAUUUGGGCCCUUUGAAGGUCCAUUGAAGACCAUUGAUAUUUGAUCAAUUCGCUUUCAUAGUCAAUAUUCAUUUUUUUAUUAAUUCAAAACUUUUUCAAGCAAAAGUUAGCACCCCAUUUUUUAUUUUUCGAUUGAAAGUCAAAAGUAACCUCGUCAUUGGAUUGAAAGUUGUUUGUAGGUCAUAUAUAGUCCAUUGUCAUUAGUCUAUCAAUCAUCAUUUAUGGGAUAUUAAUUAAUUAAAGAAUAUUAUUCUGACGGACGAGUGCGCAUGCGCAUGAGCACAUACGCAACGCUUGCCGCGUCAUUCAUACUACGUUAAUUUUCAUCUAUUGCUAAUCAUUUUUAUCUUCAAUCAUUAUUUGAAUUCGUUUGCCAAAAGAAGUUCUAUCCUACUCGUGAAUUUUCGAUUUAAGGAGGGUCAUCUCGAAUUUUUCAUAAAAACAUCUGUUCUGUUAAAAAAGGUGAUAUGGAGUAAAUAGCGGACAGACCGGUCAUUGACGGUUCAUUGUAUAUUAGUUCGAACAAUGUCCUUUAUUUUGUCCUUAAAAAUAAGAAGUCUUCAACAUUCUCUGUGAUUCUAUCAUGAUGGAGACAUUCAUAAAUAAUCGUAAAAUUUCAACAUUCUUCAUGAUUCAUCAUGAACUUUUUGGUGGUUUAUCAUAACAGUUCUGUUAAAAUUUAAAGCUUAAAUAUCCAUUAUUUGCAUUCAACGAACGCACUGGACAACUUAAUACUUAAUCAUACAUUAAAGUUAUUUUGCAGGCUGCGAUUCCUUGACAACGUCAAACGAUCAGCGGUUGCUGCACUGUGUCAAGGUUAGGUAGCCCUUGUUGCAAUUCUCAUUUGUGGUUAGGUUGCACAUGGUUAGCAAUAGGGGUUGAUCCCGUUUCCUUAAGGUUAUCACUGUGACUCUAUGAUUUUAUAAAAUGAUGCGAGGACGCAACCGAGAGUGGAGGAGGAUGUUUGGGGCGCGAGCCCAGGUUGACCUGAUCCGGUGCGAUUGUCGCGUAGGGAAGGAUACGAUCCCUGUUGGACUGGUGGAGUAUGUGGGAAGAGUUCUCGGAAAUGAUCCGGAUUAUCGUGCGUUAAUGCGGAUGUUGGAUGAUCGAUUUUUUGAGGGGAAGCUUCGGGGGUACACAAUGUGGAGGACGAAGGUACACAAGGACACCUUUGGGUUUACAGAUUUCACGCAGAGGAAGAUUUUUUUGCAAGAGUGCCUUUUUUCUGCUGGUCUCAGUAGGACCGUUUUAGUGAGGAUUAUGAUGCAGGAGCUAUGUCAUGUUUAUGUGGAUAUGAUGGGUGGAAACCGGGAGGAAAACCGGUCCCAUGGCCCUAACUGGAGGAGGGAGGUGGUUAGGUUGAAUAAGGCUUUGGGUUGUGACAUUGAAGAUGAGGGUGAUGUGGACUGGAAAAAACUGAGACGGGUAGGGGUGAAUAAAGUAUAUAUUUGUGACAGGUGUGGGCUAAAAGUAAUCAGGAUGAUUAAGCGGACUCCUGAUGCCAAGUUUUUUUCCUGGUUUCCUCGGCAUGCGGAGAGGUGUGGAGGGGAGUUUAAGUUAUCGCCAUAGGAGAGUCGAACUGACGGGGAGUAGCGGGAUGCAGAAGGGUGGAUUUUUGAGGGUGAAGAUGAUAUCAAUUUUAAUUCUAUUUUCGGAAACUAAGGAUCUCCAGCAUUGGGUCGGUCAUUUGUACGACCCUUUUUGACCUUUUUUCCAACGGUGACUUUCUAUCGGCCGGUUAUUGGCGGAGUGAUACAAAUAUAUAUAUACACACAUACCCAAAUAUAGAUUAUUAAUACGUUUUUAUGUACCAGGAGAUCAAUAUAAAUACAUAUGAGUAUAUAUUUAUCCAUA
This is a long non-coding RNA of Diachasmimorpha longicaudata, 1886 nucleotides long. RefSeq lists it as uncharacterized. The record is from RefSeq and is a predicted model, not a curated record. NCBI's taxonomy places the organism in Eukaryota, Metazoa, Arthropoda, Insecta, Hymenoptera, Braconidae. The transcript has 4 exons.